This 1143-nucleotide long non-coding RNA is filed under the name Lotus japonicus. Its description in RNAcentral is "long non-coding RNA (LJAP_LNC000569)". The record is from RNAcentral. Lineage: Eukaryota; Viridiplantae; Streptophyta; Magnoliopsida; Fabales; Fabaceae.
AGGCCGCAAGUGAGAAUGGGAGGAAAGAGGAGAAAAACGUUAAAGUUUCUUCUUGAUUCUUGAUUGUGAGUGGAUCUUGGAGCUAGAGGCGGAUAGCAAGCUUGUGCAACACUUGGGUCUUCACAUCCUUUUCUUCAGUACUAUUUUCAUAAUCUUCUUCAUAUUUUUUUUGGAAGCUUUUUGAGCAAAGGUUAGUAUUGGCCUCAAGCUUUGAGUUGAUGGGCUUGGAAGUAUAUUAUUAAGUUCAAAUGUUUAUUCAUAUCGUUUAUCAUGUUUUGAAUGAUAAAAAUUUUAAGGGCAUAAGUGGAACAAUAAAAAUUUCAUAUUUCAGGAACGCUUUGACUCAUCGUAUAUGCCUACUUUUUUUUGUUCAAGCUAAACAACUUAUAUGGAAAGACAGUUCAAUCCCAGUGAAGAAGCUACAUUCUACUGGUCAAAGCUUAUCGUCUUACUCAAAAUGACCAAUGAUAGGAAAUGGAAGAAAAUUGUUUGAGGAAAGAAGAUCUUCUGAAGCAAAAGGAACGUCUGAAGAAAGAAGAGUUUCAAACAAAGCAAGUUGCAGUGUUUGAAGAAUGAGCCUCACCUUCAAAUUAGAAAAAUAUCUCAAACAAACUUGGAGAAGAAGUCUUGAUAGAAGAUCAUGUGAACUGACAAAGCACAAUGACCAAAGCUGAAGUACAACGUUGUCACUACAAAGUUGUCGUAUUUUCUUAUCAACGGAUAGAAGCAAAGACCAAUGCUACCUACCAGCUGUCAGACUACAUCUUUUCAGAAAAAAGUCUUCAUCAAACAGUGUCAUGCAUUUAAUGCAUCUGACAAAAGCAUUGUUUGAUCCAACAGCUAGAAUCUCUGCGAAGUACAAGCUCCAACAUCUAUUAUCUCUCUCUCACAGAAGAUCAUGAAGUAUAAAAGCAAGACUUGAAGAUGUGAUUAUGUAUGACUCUGCUAUGAACUAUGUGAUAGUGAAUAUGAUAGUAGGAUUGCCAAUGAUUAUAUAUGCUAGAGAUAAUAUAUGAUUGCUGAUGUAAUAAACUAGUAUGCUCACCUGUGCGUUGCACAACUUAAAGUUUUCUUGACAACUGAUUUUUUUUAGGCUAAAAAGCACUUUUGGCCCCUUAUGUUUUAAGUUUGUGCAAAUUUUGC